GCAUCGAUGAAGAACGCAGCGAAACGCGAUAUGUAGUGUGAAUUGCAGAAUUCAGUGAAUCAUCGAAUCUUUGAACGCACAUUGCGCCUUCCAGUAUCCUGGGAGGCAUGCCUGUCCGAGCGUCGUUUCAACCCUCGAGCCCCCGUGGCCCGGUGUUGGGGACGCUGCCCAGCUACCUGGGCAGCCCCCCUAAAUGCAGUGGCGGUCCCGCAAGUCCCAGCCCUUUGCGUAGUAAUAUCAUUCUCGCUCUGGACGGCUCGCGGGCUUACCAGCCUCGAAACCCCCUACAAAGACCGCCCCGGCGGCAACGGUUGACCUCCGAUCAGGUAGGAACACCCGCUCAACUUAAGCAUAUCAAUAAUCGGACGAA
Molecule: ribosomal RNA, 370 nt
Filed under: uncultured fungus
Lineage: Eukaryota; Fungi
Description: eukaryotic LSU rRNA
Rfam family: 5.8S ribosomal RNA (bases 1-125)
Source: RNAcentral